This is a non-coding RNA of Rattus norvegicus (Norway rat), 394 nucleotides long. The record is from RefSeq and is a predicted model, not a curated record. NCBI's taxonomy places the organism in Eukaryota, Metazoa, Chordata, Mammalia, Rodentia, Muridae.
UUGACCAACCAUCUUGUUUGGCUGAGUGAGAAUCUGCUCACCUGCUCCUACAUCAAUGACUCUCAGAGGGUUGGUGUGCUGGGGACUAAGAACCAUACUGCCGACUGAACCAAUCUGAGCAAACUCAGUGGUGCUUAAUACUGAUGAGCUUGACAGGAUCUAGAAUCAUCGAUGAGUCAUUUCUGAGCAUGCUUGUAAAGAAUGUUCUUAGUUAUAUUAAUCGAAUCAGGAAGACCCUCAGUGUGGGAGUAUCAAGUCGCAUGCACAAGACGGUUGUCACCAUCAAUUAUAUGGAAAACGGUCAACAGAUUGGUAUGCUUUUAGUGGGCUUUUGAAGAACAUGGAACCCAGUAGACUGAGACCAAAUAUUAAACAUACUGAUUUCUCAAGGUGA